GAACUGUGCGAACGUUAUUCGGAAUCACUGGGCUUAAAGGGUGCGUAGGCGGUUUUCUAAGUCACGUGUGAAAUCUUCUGGCUCAACCAGAAAACUGCGCGUGAAACUAGUAAACUUGAGUGAGGUAGGGGUGUGUGGAACUUCCGGUGGAGCGGUGAAAUGUGUAGAGAUCGGAAGGAACGCCAGCAGCGAAAGCGGCACACUGGGCCUUUUCUGACGCUGAGGCACGAAAGCUAGGGGAGUGAACGGGAUUAGAUACCCCGGUAAUCCUAGCCGUAAACACUGAACACUGGAGGACGGGGGCUUCGGCCUUCGUUCUCGUAGCGAAAGCGUUAAGUGUUCCGCCUGGGGAGUAUGGUCGCAAGGCUG
RNAcentral lists this ribosomal RNA (369 nucleotides) under uncultured bacterium. RNAcentral's name for it is "bacterial SSU rRNA". It matches the Rfam family "Bacterial small subunit ribosomal RNA", at positions 527 to 896 of the family's 1533-position model. The record is from RNAcentral.